UAAUGUGUUGUAGUCCUAUGCUGACUAUGAGAGUAACCCGCUGCUGAGGCAGGGAAUAGAGUUCUGCGUCAGACAGUUCUACAUCCUGCACCGUAAACCCUUCAUCCUCCAGCUGUUUGCCAGCGUGGCCCCACUGCUGGAGUUCACAACGUGCACCAGUACAGGCCUGUCUAAGGGGGUGUCUGCUCAGUGCCUGUUUGACCUGCUGGUCUCUCUGGAGGGAGAGACGCGUGAUACCCUGGAUGCCCUGGAGCUGGUCAAGGCUGAAAAACCCCUACGAUCCCUGGACUUCUGCUAUGGUAGUGAGGACCUGGCCUUCUCCAUCAGUGAGUCCAUCAAGCUGUGUGU
Long non-coding RNA from Oncorhynchus masou masou (cherry salmon), 348 nucleotides. RefSeq lists it as uncharacterized. The record is from RefSeq and is a predicted model, not a curated record. Lineage: Eukaryota; Metazoa; Chordata; Actinopteri; Salmoniformes; Salmonidae. The transcript has 3 exons.